AGCCCUGUGAUGACGAGAAGUCGAGAACUACACACGACUGCACAAAUUUACGGCCUUCCAGUUGAGGAUCAGCGGUUGAGAUCGAGGGUGCUUCAGGCCCUGGUAGGAACUUGCUACUUGAUAUCUUCCAUUCUUCCUAUACGCUGAGCAUUUCAUCAAAAUUGAAUUCGAAAAAAGCAGGGACACUUCACAUGGAUUGGGUUUGCAAGGACUUCUUUUAAGAAUACGCUGAUCAUCUCAUAAAAAUGGCCGAAAAGCAAGGGCGAAGCCAGAAGAUUUAAGUACCGGUGUCAGGGUAGAGUAAUCUUAUUUUUCUAUGGGGUCAUUUCAUAUAAACAACGGUGAUCAAAGGGCAUUCGCAGGUAGUCAUCGCGGUCGCCGGACCCCGAUGGAUGGCUGCAGCUCCGCCCCUGUCGGAAAGAGAGACGAACGAGAACGAGAGAACAGAAGACUACAGAAGACUAGAACUAACGCAAAACCCUGGAUCAAAAGGAAGACACCAAGAAACUCAAGCGUUAGCUAAAUAGGCUCAAGUAAUCCAGGUGCACUCCAAAAAAAAAAUUUAAUGUAACUGGUAUCAUUGAUCCACUCAGGUCUAUAUGUUCUUGUAUUUUGCGUUACCAAUCCUGGAUGGAAAAAACAAAUCUAGACACGGCUCAUCUCUAUGUAACACUAGAUGGUAGCAACAUUGAUGGAUCUAAUGCGUCAAUGGGUAUCGACAAAACAUUACUAAGCGUGCUUUAGCUCUUGAGCUAUUGGCUAAGUUGAGCUUGAAGCAAUACCAUGGUCCAUGG
This 794-nucleotide long non-coding RNA is filed under the name Setaria italica (foxtail millet). Its description in RNAcentral is "long non-coding RNA (SITA_LNC004092)". Lineage: Eukaryota; Viridiplantae; Streptophyta; Magnoliopsida; Poales; Poaceae. The record is from RNAcentral.